GAAGGUAUAGCUCAGUGGUAGAGCGCAUGCUUAGAGUGUACGAGGUCCUGGAUUCAAUCGCCAAUACCUCCA
RNAcentral lists this transfer RNA (72 nucleotides) under Camelus bactrianus (Bactrian camel). It matches the Rfam family "tRNA". Rfam says of the family: Transfer RNA (tRNA) molecules are approximately 80 nucleotides in length. Their secondary structure includes four short double-helical elements and three loops (D, anti-codon, and T loops). RNAcentral also lists the same sequence under 1 other name. Lineage: Eukaryota; Metazoa; Chordata; Mammalia; Artiodactyla; Camelidae. The record is from Rfam by way of RNAcentral.